This 407-nucleotide ribosomal RNA is filed under the name uncultured Rugosimonospora sp. RNAcentral's name for it is "partial 16S ribosomal RNA". It matches the Rfam family "Bacterial small subunit ribosomal RNA", at positions 355 to 774 of the family's 1533-position model. Lineage: Bacteria; Bacillati; Actinomycetota; Actinomycetes; Micromonosporales; Micromonosporaceae. The record is from RNAcentral.
UGGGGAAUAUUGCACAAUGGGCGGAAGCCUGAUGCAGCGACGCCGCGUGAGGGAUGACGGCCUUCGGGUUGUAAACCUCUUUCAGCAGGGACGAAGCGUGAGUGACGGUACCUGCAGAAGAAGCGCCGGCCAACUACGUGCCAGCAGCCGCGGUAAGACGUAGGGCGCGAGCGUUGUCCGGAUUUAUUGGGCGUAAAGAGCUCGUAGGCGGCUUGUUGCGUCGACCGUGAAAACCCGGGGCUCAACUUCGGGCUUGCGGUCGAUACGGGCGGGCUAGAGUUCGGUAGGGGAGACUGGAAUUCCUGGUGUAGCGGUGAAAUGCGCAGAUAUCAGGAGGAACACCGGUGGCGAAGGCGGGUCUCUGGGCCGAUACUGACGCUGAGGAGCGAAAGCGUGGGGAGCGAACA